RNAcentral lists this ribosomal RNA (468 nucleotides) under uncultured bacterium. RNAcentral's name for it is "partial 16S ribosomal RNA". It matches the Rfam family "Bacterial small subunit ribosomal RNA", at positions 28 to 507 of the family's 1533-position model. The record is from RNAcentral.
GACGAACGCUGGUGGCGUGCUUAACACAUGCAAGUCGAACGGAAAGGCCCUGCUUUUGUGGGGUGCUCGAGUGGCGAACGGGUGAGUAACACGUGAGUAACCUGCCCUUGACUUUGGGAUAACUUCAGGAAACUGGGGCUAAUACCGGAUAGGAGCUCCUGCUGCAUGGUGGGGGUUGGAAAGUUUCGGCGGUUGGGGAUGGACUCGCGGCUUAUCAGCUUGUUGGUGGGGUAGUGGCUUACCAAGGCUUUGACGGGUAGCCGGCCUGAGAGGGUGACCGGCCACAUUGGGCCUGCGAUACGGCCCAGACUCCUACGGGAGGCAGCAGUGGGGAAUAUUGCACAAUGGGCGGACGCCUGAUGCAGCAACGCCGCGUGCGGGAUGACGGCCUUCGGGUUGUAAACCGCUUUCGCCUGUGACGAAGCGUGAGUGACGGUAAUGGGUAAAGAAGCACCGGCUAACUACGUG